Molecule: long non-coding RNA, 296 nt
Organism: Exaiptasia diaphana
Lineage: Eukaryota; Metazoa; Cnidaria; Anthozoa; Actiniaria; Aiptasiidae
Exons: 2
Source: RefSeq, a predicted model, not a curated record
UUUUUUUUCUUUUUAAUAGUAUGUCGCAGACCUUCAUGGCCUUGGGGUUGAGUACCUUCUAUAAAUUCGCGUCAACUUCUCUACUCCCUCUGAAUGCUGGUCUCGUCUGGUUACUGGUUCAUUCCCCACCCUCGUACUUAUUCAAUCUCAUAUCCCUUAUUACAGUUCAUACUCUCGUUAAUGGACUUGUACUGCUACUCAUAUUGAAGACUAACGCUACAAACGUAUACCGGCUUAGUUUACUUUGAUUUUACAUGAAUACAGACGCGAAAUAAUAAAAUAUCUUAAAAUCACAA